RNAcentral lists this ribosomal RNA (472 nucleotides) under uncultured bacterium. RNAcentral's name for it is "bacterial SSU rRNA". It matches the Rfam family "Bacterial small subunit ribosomal RNA", at positions 450 to 919 of the family's 1533-position model. The record is from RNAcentral.
CAAGUUAACAGCUUGAAACCUGACAUAACCCGGAGAGGAAGCAGUGGCUAACUCUGUGCCAGCAGCCGACGGUAAUACAGAGACUGCAAGCGUUAUUCGGAUUCACUGGGCGUAAAGGGUGCGCAGGCGGCCGUGUGUGUUAGGCGUGAAAGCCCGAGGCUCAACCUCGGAAUUGCACCUAAAACUACACGGCUAGAGUACUGGAGAGGGUAGCGGAAUUCACGGUGUAGCAGUGAAAUGCGUAGAUAUCGUGAGGAACACCAAUGGCGAAGGCAGCUACCUGGACAGUAACUGACGCUCAGGCACGAAAGCGUGGGGAGCAAAAGGGAUUAGAUACCCCUGUAGUCCACGCCCUAAACGGUGCACACUAGGUCUUGGCGGAUUCGACCCCCCCAGGGCCCAAGCUAACGCGUUAAGUGUGCCGCCUGAGGACUACGGCCGCAAGGCUAAAACUCAAAGGAAUUGACGGGGG